GGUGAAAAGCACCCCGGAAGGGGAGUGAAAUAGAACCUGAAACCGUGUGCUUACAAGUAGUCAGAGCCCGUUAAUGGGUGAUGGCGUGCCUUUUGUAGAAUGAACCGGCGAGUUACGAUUUGAUGCAAGGUUAAGCAGUAAAUGUGGAGCCGUAGCGAAAGCGAGUCUGAAUAGGGCGUUUAGUAUUUGGUCGUAGACCCGAAACCAGGUGAUCUACCCUUGGUCAGGUUGAAGUUCAGGUAACACUGAAUGGAGGACCGAACCGACUUACGUUGAAAAGUGAGCGGAUGAACUGAGGGUAGCGGAGAAAUUCCAAUCGAACCUGGAGAUAGCUGGUUCUCUCCGAAAUAGCUUUAGGGCUAGCCUCAAGUGAUGAUUAUUGGAGGUAGAGCACUGUUUGGACGAGGGGCCCCUCUCGGGUUACCGAAUUCAGACAAACUCCGAAUGCCAAUUAAUUUAACUUGGGAGUCAGAACAUGGGUGAUAAGGUCCGUGUUCGAAAGGGAAACAGCCCAGACCACCAGCUAAGGUCCCAAAAUAUAUGUUAAGUGGAAAAGGAUGUGGCGUUGCCCAGACAACUAGGAUGUUGGCUUAGAAGCAGCCAUCAUUUAAAGAGUGCGUAAUAGCUCACUAGUCGAGUGACACUGCGCCGAAAAUGUACCGGGGCUAAACAUAUUACCGAAGCUGUGGAUUGUCCUUUGGACAAUGGUAGGAGAGCGUUCUAAGGGCGUUGAAGCAUGAUCGUAAGGACAUGUGGAGCGCUUAGAAGUGAGAAUGCCGGUGUGAGUAGCGAAAGACGGGUGAGAAUCCCGUCCACCGAUUGACUAAGGUUUCCAGAGGAAGGCUCGUCCGCUCUGGGUUAGUCGGGUCCUAAGCUGAGGCCGACAGGCGUAGGCGAUGGAUAACAGGUUGAUAUUCCUGUACCACCUAUAAUCGUUUUAAUCGAUGGGGGGACGCAGUAGGAUAGGCGAAGCGUGCGAUUGGAUUGCACGUCUAAGCAGUAAGGCUGAGUAUUAGGCAAAUCCGGUACUCAUUAAGGCUGAGCUGUGAUGGGGAGAAGACAUUGUGUCUUCGAGUCGUUGAUUUCACACUGCCGAGAAAAGCCUCUAGAUAGAAAAUAGGUGCCCGUACCGCAAACCGACACAGGUAGUCAAGAUGAGAAUUCUAAGGUGAGCGAGCGAACUCUCGUUAAGGAACUCGGCAAAAUGACCCCGUAACUUCGGGAGAAGGGGUGCUCUUUAGGGUUAACGCCCAGAAGAGCCGCAGUGAAUAGGCCCAAGCGACUGUUUAUCAAAAACACAGGUCUCUGCUAAACCGUAAGGUGAUGUAUAGGGGCUGACGCCUGCCCGGUGCUGGAAGGUUAAGAGGAGUGGUUAGCUUCUGCGAAGCUACGAAUCGAAGCCCCAGUAAACGGCGGCCGUAACUAUAACGGUCCUAAGGUAGCGAAAUUCCUUGUCGGGUAAGUUCCGACCCGCACGAAAGGCGUAACGAUUUGGGCACUGUCUCAACGAGAGACUCGGUGAAAUCAUAGUACCUGUGAAGAUGCAGGUUACCCGCGACAGGACGGAAAGACCCCGUGGAGCUUUACUGUAGCCUGAUAUUGAAAUUCGGCACAGCUUGUACAGGAUAGGUAGGAGCCUUUGAAACGUGAGCGCUAGCUUACGUGGAGGCGCUGGUGGGAUACUACCCUAGCUGUGUUGGCUUUCUAACCCGCACCACUUAUCGUGGUGGGAGACAGUGUCAGGCGGGCAGUUUGACUGGGGCGGUCGCCUCCUAAAAGGUAACGGAGGCGCUCAAAGGUUCCCUCAGAAUGGUUGGAAAUCAUUCAUAGAGUGUAAAGGCAUAAGGGAGCUUGACUGCGAGACCUACAAGUCGAGCAGGGUCGAAAGACGGACUUAGUGAUCCGGUGGUUCCGCAUGGAAGGGCCAUCGCUCAACGGAUAAAAGCUACCCCGGGGAUAACAGGCUUAUCUCCCCCAAGAGUUCACAUCGACGGGGAGGUUUGGCACCUCGAUGUCGGCUCAUCGCAUCCUGGGGCUGUAGUCGGUCCCAAGGG
This 2054-nucleotide ribosomal RNA is filed under the name Staphylococcus aureus. RNAcentral describes it as "partial 23S ribosomal RNA". It matches the Rfam family "Bacterial large subunit ribosomal RNA", at positions 513 to 2571 of the family's 2925-position model. The record is from RNAcentral. Lineage: Bacteria; Bacillati; Bacillota; Bacilli; Caryophanales; Staphylococcaceae.